UACGUAGGGUCCGAGCGUUGUCCGGAAUUAUUGGGCGUAAAGGGCUCGUAGGCGGUCUGUUGCGUCGGGAGUGAAAACUUACAGCUUAACUGUGAGCGUGCUUCCGAUACGGGCGGACUUGAGGUAUUCAGGGGAGAACGGAAUUCCUGGUGUAGCGGUGAAAUGCGCAGAUAUCAGGAGGAACACCGGUGGCGAAGGCGGUUCUCUGGGAAUAUCCUGACGCUGAGGAGCGAAAGUGUGGGGAGCGAACAGG
RNAcentral lists this ribosomal RNA (253 nucleotides) under uncultured bacterium. RNAcentral describes it as "partial 16S ribosomal RNA". It matches the Rfam family "Bacterial small subunit ribosomal RNA", at positions 524 to 776 of the family's 1533-position model. The record is from RNAcentral.